This 1190-nucleotide ribosomal RNA is filed under the name uncultured bacterium. RNAcentral's name for it is "bacterial SSU rRNA". It matches the Rfam family "Bacterial small subunit ribosomal RNA", at positions 146 to 1384 of the family's 1533-position model. The record is from RNAcentral.
CAUACGAUAAACGGUGAGUUAUUAGUAUUAAUUAAUUUAAUAAUAAAUGCUAAAAUAAAUUUAAAUUGAGCUUACUGAAGCUUCCGUAAGAUUAGAUUGUUGGUAAGUUAAGAGCUUUACCAAGUCUAUGAUCUUUAGUUGAUUUUAGCGAAUGUACAACCACAUUGGGACUGAAACAAGGCCCAAGCUCUUUUUUGGAGGCAGCAGUGAGGAAUAUUGGACAAUGAACGAAAGUUUGAUCCAGCAAUACCACAUGGGUGAUGAAUGUUAAUUUUAUUGUAAAAUCCUUUCACCAAAGAAGACAAUGACAUCAUUUGGAAAAGAAGUCCCGACUAACUUCGUGCCAGCAGUCGCGGUAAUACGGAGGGGGCUAGCGUUAUUCUACGUUACUGGGUGUAAAGUGUAUUUAGGCGGUCUUUAAAGUUUUUGUUAAAAAGAUAAAGCUUAACUUUAUUAAUGGCAAUAAUUACUGAUUGACUUAGAGUUUAUUAAAAAAUAGCUGUAUAUACUGUGUAGAGGUAAAAUUCUUAGAUAUAGUAUGGACAAUCAAGAGGCGAAGGCUGCUAUUUGUAAUAAACUGACGCUGAUAUACAAAAGCAUGGGGAGCAAACAGGAUUUGAUACCCUGGUAGUCCAUGCUGUGACCGAUGAGCAUUGAAAAUAGCAAUUUGAUAUUUUUAAGUGAAAACGUUAAAUGCUCCACCUGGGGACUACGGCCGCAAGGCUAAAACUCAAAGGAAUUGACUGAGGCUUGUACAAACGGUGGAACAUGUGGUUUAAUUCGAUAAAAAUCGUCUAAUCUUACCAAUCUUUGAUAUAUAAAAUAGUUAUAAUAAAUUCUAACCGAAUUUAUUAAUUUUUAUACAGGUGUUGCAUGGCUGUCGUCAGUUCGUGUCGUGAGAUGUAUGGUUAAUUGCUGCAACGGGCGCAACCCUUAUUUAUUUAGUAAAUAAAAACUGCUUGUGAAAUACAAGAAGAAGGUAAGGAUUAAGUCAAGUCAGUAUGACCCUAAUAGAUUGGGCUACACACGUGUUACAUUGGUAAUUACAAUUACAAAGUUUUAUGAGAGUAAAACUAAGACUAAAAAAAUUACCUUAGUUCGGAUUAUAAACUGUAACUCGUUUAUAUGAAGCAGGAAUCGUUAGUAAUCGCAAAUCGGAAAGUUGCGGUGAAUAUGUAUUUUAGCCUAGU